UGGGGAAUAUUGCACAAUGGGCGCAAGCCUGAUGCAGCCAUGCCGCGUGUGUGAAGAAGGCCUUCGGGUUGUAAAGCACUUUCAGCGAGGAGGAAGGUGGUGAGCUUAAUACGCUCAUCAAUUGACGUUACUCGCAGAAGAAGCACCGGCUAACUCCGUGCCAGCAGCCGCGGUAAUACGGAGGGUGCAAGCGUUAAUCGGAAUUACUGGGCGUAAAGCGCACGCAGGCGGUUUGUUAAGUCAGNUGUGAAAUCCCCGGGCUCAACCUGGGAACUGCAUUUGAAACUGGCAAGCUAGAGUCUCGUAGAGGGGGGUAGAAUUCCAGGUGUAGCGGUGAAAUGCGUAGAGAUCUGGAGGAAUACCGGUGGCGAAGGCGGCCCCCUGGACGAAGACUGACGCUCAGGUGCGAAAGCGUGGGGCAGCAAACAGGAUUAGAUACCCUGGUAGUCCAGCGCUGUAAAACGAUGUCGAUUUGGAGGUUGUGCCCUUGAGGCGUGGCUUCCGGAGCUAACGCGUUAAAGUCGACCG
This 528-nucleotide ribosomal RNA is filed under the name uncultured bacterium. RNAcentral's name for it is "partial 16S ribosomal RNA". It matches the Rfam family "Bacterial small subunit ribosomal RNA", at positions 355 to 871 of the family's 1533-position model. The record is from RNAcentral.